This 464-nucleotide ribosomal RNA is filed under the name uncultured bacterium. Its description in RNAcentral is "partial 16S ribosomal RNA". It matches the Rfam family "Bacterial small subunit ribosomal RNA", at positions 28 to 507 of the family's 1533-position model. The record is from RNAcentral.
GACGAACGCUGGCGGCGUGCCUAACACAUGCAAGUCGAGCGAAUGAAGUUCCUUCGGGAAUGGAUUUAGCGGCGGACGGGUGAGUAACACGUGGGCAACCUGCCUCAUAGAGGGGAAUAGCCUUCCGAAAGGGAGAUUAAUACCGCAUAAGAUUGUAGUAUCGCAUGAUACAGCAAUUAAAGGAGCAAUCCGCUAUGAGAUGGGCCCGCGGCGCAUUAGCUAGUUGGUGAGGUAACGGCUCACCAAGGCGACGAUGCGUAGCCGACCUGAGAGGGUGAUCGGCCACAUUGGGACUGAGACACGGCCCAGACUCCUACGGGAGGCAGCAGUGGGGAAUGUUGCACAAUGGGGGAAACCCUGAUGCAGCAACGCCGCGUGAGUGAUGACGGCCUUCGGGUUGUAAAGCUCUGUCUUCAGGGACGAUAAUGACGGUACCUGAGGAGGAAGCCACGGCUAACUACGUG